This 501-nucleotide ribosomal RNA is filed under the name uncultured bacterium. RNAcentral's name for it is "partial 16S ribosomal RNA". It matches the Rfam family "Bacterial small subunit ribosomal RNA", at positions 899 to 1397 of the family's 1533-position model. The record is from RNAcentral.
ACUCAAAGGAAUAGACGGGGACCCGCACAAGCGGUGGAGUAUGUGGUUUAAUUCGAUGCAACGCGAAGAACCUUACCACCUUUUGACAUCCUGAUAGCUGUUAGCAGAAAUGCUUUCGUCGGUUCGGCCGGAUCAGUGACAGGUGUUGCAUGGCUGUCGUCAGCUCGUGUCGUGAGAUGUUGGGUUAAGUCCCGCAACGAGCGCAACCCUCAUCCUUAGUUACCAGCGGGUUAUGCCGGGCACUCUAAGGAAACUGCUCGUGAUAAGCGAGAGGAAGGUGGGGAUGACGUCAAGUCAUCACGGCCCUUACAAGGUGGGCUACACACGUACUACAAUGGUGGGGACAAUGGGUUGCUACAUAGCGAUAUGGUGCUAAUCUCUAAAAGCCACCUCAGUUCAGAUUGGAGUCUGCAACUCGACUCCAUGAAGUCGGAAUCGCUAGUAAUCGUGGAUCAGCAUGCCACGGUGAAUACGUUCCCGGGUCUUGCACACACCGCCCGU